RNAcentral lists this long non-coding RNA (555 nucleotides) under Struthio camelus australis. Its description in RNAcentral is "lncRNA (ENSSCUG00000016419.1)". Lineage: Eukaryota; Metazoa; Chordata; Aves; Struthioniformes; Struthionidae. The record is from RNAcentral.
AUUUUCUGAUGUUUUAAAUUUAUAUUUUUUCCAGGAUCCUGUCUCAUUCAAUACAAAAGAACAAAGUUGCUCACAGAAUUAGCUAAUUUUCAAUAUUUUUGUUUUAGCUGAGUUGUUGAUUGUGUGGUUCAUUGAAGAAGACAACUGUGAUAAUAAGCUAGAUAAAGAUCUCAAGAUCCCAUAUGCGGUGGACCUCACAUUUAUGAAGACAAAAACCAGCAGUCCUCAAAGAGGUCUCCUGCAGCCCUCAGCAAGCGUAUUAUGGGAGCUGUCUCUUGAGUUUCACUCAGUGAAGUCAGCCCAUGGAUGCUUUUGUAAGUGGCUCUACAAGCGGCUGCAAGUUGGAGAAGACAAACUAAAUGGACUGUUAAGAUAUACGGAAAGAUGACUAGACCCUGGCCUGGGGUUUAGCUGACUGAACAGAUCCUGAGAAGUUUCACGGACUACAGAAUACGGUAUGAAUUGCUGAACAUACCAAGUAACAGAGUAAGAAAUUGACAAAAGUUAUAGAGAGCGCCCUGAGAGCAGGUGGGAUAUCACAGAUGGUUAAGGGGG